ACAUCUGCGCUUUGUUUAUAAUGAGAAUUCGCAAGAACGCGCGCGCACUUAAAGCUGAUGAGUUUCAGCGAUGACUCAUCUGAACGCCUCUGAUUGGCCAUUGCAUUCCUAAGCUCAACAGAAUUGUGAUUGGUUAAAAUGCGCAACACUUUAAAAACGCCUAAAAUGAAAUAACAUGAGGAGAUCUUAAUUUAAUGCCACAAUCGACACGGUCUAUUCAUUUUCACUUUGUUAGCAACAAACGUAAUAGAUUUAAUUUGUUUGUGGAGGGGCAUUUUUGCCCCAAGUCCCCAUGUCCAAGGCCUUCUAUGGUAGUUGUAGUUGGAGCAACUUGAGGUGUCCAUACCUGAGCUGGAGGUCAAGGCUUUCUUGGUGUGAUGAGGCCGGUGGGUCAUUUGUUUUUCGGCCACCCCUCUCUUCUUGCCUGACUGGCUGCGGACCUGCAGCUCAAGCCUGGGGUUCCCUGCAUGUCUGGCCACCUGCUUUAACCCUGCCAAAUCAGAUUAUCAUCACUCAAACUAGAUUGCUCCAGAAGCCCUGGAGGACUGUGGCAUCCUGGUCCAGUAUCAGAGUGAGCAGAUCUGUUCGGAGAUGAUGUCGUGAUCUGCCAGCCCAUACAGCAGUGGGAAAGGGUCAUGGAUUGCCAUAGCGAUCUCAGUCCUACAUGCUCGUAGUUGUGAGCGCAGACAGAUGUCAUGCUGAUAAAUGUCCUUACAGAGUGAAUAAAGAGCCAACUACACUGCUCUACACAACCCUAUGGCAACAACUCCGACAGAUUCAAUCUCCUCACACUAUCAGCAGCAACUUCCUGUUUUACAUACAAC
This is a long non-coding RNA of Onychostoma macrolepis, 824 nucleotides long. RefSeq lists it as uncharacterized. The record is from RefSeq and is a predicted model, not a curated record. NCBI's taxonomy places the organism in Eukaryota, Metazoa, Chordata, Actinopteri, Cypriniformes, Cyprinidae. The transcript has 5 exons.